CUACGGGUGGCACCAGUGGGGAAUAUUGGACAAUGGGGGAAACCCUGAUCCAGCAAUGCCGCGUGUGUGAAGAAGGCCUGCGGGUUGUAAAGCACUUUCGGUUGGGAGGACUGCUUCUAGCACUAAUAUUGUUGGAAGUUGACGUUACCUUCAGAAGAAGCACCGGCUAACUCCGUGCCAGCAGCCGCGGUAAUACGGAGGGUGCAAGCGUAAUCGGAAUUACUGGGCGUAAAGCGCGCGUAGGCGGCUAGAUCAGUCGGGUGUGAAAGCCCCGGGCUUAACCUGGAAACUGCAUCCGAUACUGUCUAGCUUGAGUACAGGAGAGGAGAGUGGAAUUCCACAUGGAGCGGUGAAAUGCGUAGAUAGGUGGAGGAACACCAAUGGCGAAGGCAGCUCUCUGGCCUGAUACUGACGCUGAGGUGCGAAAGCGUGGGGAGCAAACAGGAUUAGAUACCCCCGUAGUC
This 464-nucleotide ribosomal RNA is filed under the name uncultured bacterium. RNAcentral describes it as "partial 16S ribosomal RNA". It matches the Rfam family "Bacterial small subunit ribosomal RNA", at positions 339 to 795 of the family's 1533-position model. The record is from RNAcentral.